UGCAAGAGUGAGAUGAAAUGUGUGGGGAAUGCUGCUUCCUUUCUAGUGAGAUUUUCAGAGGCUACAGGGCUGUUUAAAGAACCAUAGCACACAUAAGAGCACUGAGAGGAGCUGGUGCCCAAGGAUUGAUUAAAUUAGAAAUGCAUAGAUGGAGUAGUGACCAAGUAUGUGAUAUUAACAUUGAAAAGGUGCAAUUAGCAAGCAAGAAAAGAAUAGAAAUAGAGGCAGCAACAGGAACAAAAAGUCAGCAAGAACAGGUUUGUGAGAGAGACCCAGAGGACUUUUACCUCUGGACAGACUUCACGAUAGCUAUAACAGACAUAACAGUUGCACAGCCUGGGCUUAGCUAGAGAGCCAUGCCAGACUCGAUGUGCUGAGUCUUCUUAUUUCCCUUACUCUUUUGGUUGUAUCUUGGGCUCAAUGCUAGUGUCCUGUCUCUUGCUCUGAAUCCCCUGGCCUUGUUCCCAAUCAGGUCUCUCUUGGCACUGAGCCAAAUGUGCAUAUUCUUUGUUUGAGCUACUACCCUAUAACAUGGAGGCCAGACCUCACUCCCAUCAGGAUGUAUUUCCACAGGACCUAGUACCCUCCUAGCAACAUAGUACUUAGAAUGGUUUCUGCAUUGGUAUUAUUUUGAGAUCUCAGGAGGUUUGUUUGGAUAUUUCUCAUGUAGUCCUUGAGAUUCUCUCUGAGCCCAUUCCCGGCAUGAAAGAAGAUGCAGGAUUUGCAGACAGAAUCAGCCCCUGGGGACCAUCUCCAGGGAAGGAGAUAUUGUGGCAGCACAGAGCAAAGAGGUUUCCCCGUAGCACCAUGCACGGUUGUAAAAGGAGGGAGGAACCAGCAGUUUUUAACCCACAUCCUCCAGCAGCUGCAUGCACGUACCUUGCUCCGCAGGAUACAAGCACAGCCAUGCACCACCCUGUCAGGAUCCAGACUGCAUAGCUCAGAUUGUCAUGGAGACUGUUUCAAAGUCUUGCCGUGCUUCAGCAGCAGCAGCAGAGGACAAUAGCACUUGGUCUUAAAUGGCUGAAAAGAAAGCAGUGUAAAAGAGAAGGCUGAAAGGGAUACAAGUACAGCAAGACACUCUUCCAGCUGCUGCAGAGGGCUGGAGGUGCAGGGUACAGCAGCCUUCCAGAGGUGUAUAAUUGUGCCUUCAAGAUAAGCACAGGAAGAGCAUUGUCAAGGAUAGCACGUUUCUCCUCCUUCUUCCUCCCCCUCAAGCUAAGUUGCUGGCAUGUUUUAGAUUAAAUCUGUUAAUUAGGAA
This 1261-nucleotide long non-coding RNA is filed under the name Cyanistes caeruleus (blue tit). RNAcentral describes it as "lncRNA (ENSCCEG00000023876.1)". Lineage: Eukaryota; Metazoa; Chordata; Aves; Passeriformes; Paridae. The record is from RNAcentral.